GACGAACGCUGGCGGCGUGCUUAACACAUGCAAGUCGAACGGAAAGGCCCUGCUUUUGUGGGGUGCUCGAGUGGCGAACGGGUGAGUAACACGUGAGUAACCUGCCCUUGACUUUGGGAUAACUCCAGGAAACUGGGGCUAAUACCGGAUAGGAGCUCCUGCUGCAUGGUGGGGGUUGGAAAGUUUCGGCGGUUGGGGAUGGACUCGCGGCUUAUCAGCUUGUUGGUGGGGUAGUGGCUUACCAAGGCUUUGACGGGUAGCCGGCCUGAAAGGGUGACCGGCCACAUUGGGACUGAGAUACGGCCCAGACUCCUACGGGAGGCAGCAGUGGGGAAUAUUGCACAAUGGGCGGAAGCCUGAUGCAGCAACGCCGCGUGCGGGAUGACGGCCUUCGGGUUGUAAACCGCUUUCGCCUGUGACGAAGCGUGAGUGACGGUAAUGGGUAAAGAAGCACCGGCUAACUACGUG
RNAcentral lists this ribosomal RNA (468 nucleotides) under uncultured bacterium. RNAcentral's name for it is "partial 16S ribosomal RNA". It matches the Rfam family "Bacterial small subunit ribosomal RNA", at positions 28 to 507 of the family's 1533-position model. The record is from RNAcentral.